RNAcentral lists this ribosomal RNA (257 nucleotides) under uncultured bacterium. RNAcentral's name for it is "partial 16S ribosomal RNA". It matches the Rfam family "Bacterial small subunit ribosomal RNA", at positions 524 to 776 of the family's 1533-position model. The record is from RNAcentral.
UACGUAGGGUGCGAGCGUUGUUCGGAAUUAUUGGGCGUAAAGGGCGCGUAGGCGGUGCGGUAAGUCUGUAGUGAAAUCUCUGGGCUCAACUCAGAGUCUGCUAUAGAAACUGCCGUGCUUGAGUGUGGGAGAGGUGAGUGGAAUUCCUGGUGUAGCGGUGAAAUGCGUAGAUAUCAGGAGGAACACCUGUGGCGAAAAGCGGCUCACUGGACCAUAACUGACGCUGAUGCACGAAAAGCUAGGGGGAGCAAAACAGG